RNAcentral lists this ribosomal RNA (702 nucleotides) under Ozoliarus sp. PCC-2008. RNAcentral describes it as "eukaryotic LSU rRNA". It matches the Rfam family "Eukaryotic large subunit ribosomal RNA", at positions 1324 to 1924 of the family's 3401-position model. The record is from RNAcentral. Lineage: Eukaryota; Metazoa; Arthropoda; Insecta; Hemiptera; Cixiidae.
GGCGCUCUAGCGUCGUGCCUAUACCGGGCCGUCAACGGCACAGUGGGCGUCUGUCCUUCGGUCAGAGCCGUUAAGCCUUGACGAGUAGGAGGGUCGCGGCGGUGUGCGCAGAAGGGUCAGGGCGUGAGCCCGCCUGGAGCCGCCGUCGGCGCAGAUCUUGGUGGUAGUAGCAAAUACUCUAGCGAGGGCCUGGAGGACUGACGUGGAGAAGGGUUUCUUGUGAACAGCCGUUGCACAAGAGUCAGUCGACCCUAAGCCCUAGGAGAAAUCCGAUGGCGAUGGGUGGCUAAACAGCGUACCUAACCACGUUGUGUGUUGUAUCUGAUGCCCCUGUCGGGCAAAAGGGAGUCCGGUUCCUAUUCCGGAACCCGGCUGCGGAACCGUCACUCUGCGGGCACUCGCCUGCGAGCGCUCGUCGGGGUAACCCAAACUGGCCCGGAGACGCCGGCGGGGGGUCUGGAAAGAGUUUUCUUUUCUUUAUAAGCGUUCGAGUACCCUGGAAUCCUAUAGCAGGGAGAUAGGGUUUGGAACGCGAAGAGCACCGCAGUUGCGGCGGUGUCCGGACCUUCCCCCCGGACCUUGAAAAUCCGGGUGAGGGCUACGCGGAAGUCGCGCCGGAUCGUACCCAUAUCCGCAGCAGGUCUCCAAGGUUAAGAGCCUCUAGUCGAUAGAAUAAUGUAGGUAAGGGAAGUCGGCAAACUA